Molecule: ribosomal RNA, 207 nt
Filed under: uncultured bacterium
Lineage: Bacteria
Description: partial 16S ribosomal RNA
Rfam family: Bacterial small subunit ribosomal RNA
Source: RNAcentral
CUCGUAGGCGGUUUGUCGCGUCGGGAGUGAAAACACUGGGCUUAACCGAGUGCUUGCUUUCGAUACGGGCAGACUAGAGGCAUUCAGGGGAGAACGGAAUUCCUAGUGUAGCGGUGAAAUGCGCAGAUAUUAGGAGGAACACCGGUGGCGAAGGCGGUUCUCUGGGAAUGUCCUGACGCUGAGGAGCGAAAGUGUGGGGAGCGAACA